RNAcentral lists this ribosomal RNA (253 nucleotides) under uncultured bacterium. RNAcentral describes it as "partial 16S ribosomal RNA". It matches the Rfam family "Bacterial small subunit ribosomal RNA", at positions 524 to 776 of the family's 1533-position model. The record is from RNAcentral.
GACGUAGGGCGCGAGCGUUGUCCGGAUUUAUUGGGCGUAAAGAGCUCGUAGGCGGCUUGUCGCGUCGACCGUGAAAACUUGGGGCUCAACCCCAAGCCUGCGGUCGAUACGGGCAGGCUAGAGUUCGGUAGGAGAGACUGGAAUUCCUGGUGUAGCGGUGAAAUGCGCAGAUAUCAGGAGGAACACCGAUGGCGAAGGCAGGUCUCUGGGCCGAUACUGACGCUGAGGAGCGAAAGCGUGGGGAGCGAACAGG